This 762-nucleotide ribosomal RNA is filed under the name uncultured bacterium. Its description in RNAcentral is "bacterial SSU rRNA". It matches the Rfam family "Bacterial small subunit ribosomal RNA", at positions 28 to 776 of the family's 1533-position model. The record is from RNAcentral.
AUUGAACGCUGGCGGCAGGCUUAACACAUGCAAGUCGAACGGUAACAGGAAGAAAGCUUGCUUUCUUUGCUGACGAGUGGCGGACGGGUGAGUAAUGCUUGGGAAUCUGUUUCAUGGAGGGGGAUAACUACGGGAAACUGUAGCUAAUACCGCGUAAUAUCGAGAGAUUAAAUGUGUGGGACCGUAAGGCCACAUGCCAUGAAGUGAGCCCAAGUGGGAUUAGAUAGUUGGUGAGGUAAUGGCUCACCAAGUCAGCGAUCUCUAGCUGGUCUGAGAGGAUGACCAGCCACACUGGGACUGAGACACGGCCCAGACUCCUACGGGAGGCAGCAGUGGGGAAUAUUGCACAAUGGGCGCAAGCCUGAUGCAGCCAUGCCGCGUGAAUGAAGAAGGCCUUCGGGUUGUAAAGUUCUUUCGGUGGUGAGGAAGGUUGGCGUGUUAAUAGCACGUUGAUUUGACGUUAGCCACAGAAGAAGCACCGGCUAACUCCGUGCCAGCAGCCGCGGUAAUACGGAGGGUGCGAGCGUUAAUCGGAAUAACUGGGCGUAAAGGGCACGCAGGCGGUGACUUAAGUGAGGUGUGAAAGCCCUGGGCUUAACCUAGGAAUUGCAUUUCAUACUGGGUCGCUAGAGUAUUUUAGGGAGGGGUAGAAUUCCACGUGUAGCGGUGAAAUGCGUAGAGAUGUGGAGGAAUACCGAAGGCGAAGGCAGCCCCUUGGGAAUAUACUGACGCUCAUGUGCGAAAGCGUGGGGAGCAAACAGG